RNAcentral lists this ribosomal RNA (1621 nucleotides) under Escherichia coli. Its description in RNAcentral is "bacterial LSU rRNA". It matches the Rfam family "Bacterial large subunit ribosomal RNA", at positions 1221 to 2826 of the family's 2925-position model. Lineage: Bacteria; Pseudomonadati; Pseudomonadota; Gammaproteobacteria; Enterobacterales; Enterobacteriaceae. The record is from RNAcentral.
UUGUUGGGUAGGGGAGCGUUCUGUAAGCCUGUGAAGGUGUGCUGUGAGGCAUGCUGGAGGUAUCAGAAGUGCGAAUGCUGACAUAAGUAACGAUAAAGCGGGUGAAAAGCCCGCUCGCCGGAAGACCAAGGGUUCCUGUCCAACGUUAAUCGGGGCAGGGUGAGUCGACCCCUAAGGCGAGGCCGAAAGGCGUAGUCGAUGGGAAACAGGUUAAUAUUCCUGUACUUGGUGUUACUGCGAAGGGGGGACGGAGAAGGCUAUGUUGGCCGGGCGACGGUUGUCCCGGUUUAAGCGUGUAGGCUGGUUUUCCAGGCAAAUCCGGAAAAUCAAGGCUGAGGCGUGAUGACGAGGCACUACGGUGCUGAAGCAACAAAUGCCCUGCUUCCAGGAAAAGCCUCUAAGCAUCAGGUAACAUCAAAUCGUACCCCAAACCGACACAGGUGGUCAGGUAGAGAAUACCAAGGCGCUUGAGAGAACUCGGGUGAAGGAACUAGGCAAAAUGGUGCCGUAACUUCGGGAGAAGGCACGCUGAUAUGUAGGUGAAGCGACUUGCUCGUGGAGCUGAAAUCAGUCGAAGAUACCAGCUGGCUGCAACUGUUUAUUAAAAACACAGCACUGUGCAAACACGAAAGUGGACGUAUACGGUGUGACGCCUGCCCGGUGCCGGAAGGUUAAUUGAUGGGGUCAGCGCAAGCGAAGCUCUUGAUCGAAGCCCCGGUAAACGGCGGCCGUAACUAUAACGGUCCUAAGGUAGCGAAAUUCCUUGUCGGGUAAGUUCCGACCUGCACGAAUGGCGUAAUGAUGGCCAGGCUGUCUCCACCCGAGACUCAGUGAAAUUGAACUCGCUGUGAAGAUGCAGUGUACCCGCGGCAAGACGGAAAGACCCCGUGAACCUUUACUAUAGCUUGACACUGAACAUUGAGCCUUGAUGUGUAGGAUAGGUGGGAGGCUUAGAAGUGUGGACGCCAGUCUGCAUGGAGCCGACCUUGAAAUACCACCCUUUAAUGUUUGAUGUUCUAACGUUGACCCGUAAUCCGGGUUGCGGACAGUGUCUGGUGGGUAGUUUGACUGGGGCGGUCUCCUCCUAAAGAGUAACGGAGGAGCACGAAGGUUGGCUAAUCCUGGUCGGACAUCAGGAGGUUAGUGCAAUGGCAUAAGCCAGCUUGACUGCGAGCGUGACGGCGCGAGCAGGUGCGAAAGCAGGUCAUAGUGAUCCGGUGGUUCUGAAUGGAAGGGCCAUCGCUCAACGGAUAAAAGGUACUCCGGGGAUAACAGGCUGAUACCGCCCAAGAGUUCAUAUCGACGGCGGUGUUUGGCACCUCGAUGUCGGCUCAUCACAUCCUGGGGCUGAAGUAGGUCCCAAGGGUAUGGCUGUUCGCCAUUUAAAGUGGUACGCGAGCUGGGUUUAGAACGUCGUGAGACAGUUCGGUCCCUAUCUGCCGUGGGCGCUGGAGAACUGAGGGGGGCUGCUCCUAGUACGAGAGGACCGGAGUGGACGCAUCACUGGUGUUCGGGUUGUCAUGCCAAUGGCACUGCCCGGUAGCUAAAUGCGGAAGAGAUAAGUGCUGAAAGCAUCUAAGCACGAAACUUGCCCCGAGAUGAGUUCUCCCUGACUCCUUGA